Dendronephthya gigantea is the source of this 1011-nucleotide long non-coding RNA. RefSeq lists it as uncharacterized. The record is from RefSeq and is a predicted model, not a curated record. The transcript is spliced from 3 exons. NCBI's taxonomy places the organism in Eukaryota, Metazoa, Cnidaria, Anthozoa, Malacalcyonacea, Nephtheidae.
UUACCGACAACAACCAGAUUACCAGAAACCGGCAAUGCAUGCAUAGAGGCCAUAACGAUGAUCACCACUGGCCUGAAAUGUCCAAUAUUUCUUGGUUUUGGCUGUUUUCAAAUAGAUUACAACAUGCCUUAGAUGCAUUGUUGCCUUAAUGAGCUGAGACAUUAAUCAAUUUACUAUCGUCGCGUGGAUUGUGAAGUAAAUCCCUAUAGCUUAAACCUUGACUCAAUAACGUAAACAUACCAAAUUAGCGACGGUCAGACAGGUCGUUUUUGGACGACAUACAUUAUAUGAGGGUAAAAUAUCAGUUGCUAUGAAGAAGCGUUGCAAUAAUGCGAUUUUGUUUUUGUUCUUAGCUGUUUCUCUUCAGCUGGCACUAAAUGUAGUAAAAGCAAUUCCUAAUAGAGGUACAGUCAUCCCGCCAAAAGAAACUACGACUCCAAUUCAUCUUGCGUGUUACUUCUGCAAGUAUGGGACAAAUAUCAUGGCAACAUUUUGCAACAAAACUGUGAAGUUAUGUGACGAGGAAAAACCCAACUGCUUAAGUUACAACUACUCUUACAGAAACAAUACUCGUGUGUUUGGUAAGGGUUGUGGAAAAGAUGAUGAUUGUAAGAAUACAACAAAGACUUGUGAAGAUUUUAUGAAAAACACCAAUGUCUCUACGUGUACCAUAUCGUGUUGUGGAGAACCUCGGUGUAAUGAAGGAUCGGUGCAAUGUCAUCAUUUGCGCACUCUAAUAUUAGUAUUCCUCUUUUUCUUGGCAGUAUUUUGAACCACUAAAUCGCAUUAGACGAUAUAUCACGCCGGACGCAACACAGUUCUAAGAUAUAGGCAUUGUUUACUGUUUAGCAUUUCAUUUAUCACUCCCCUAAGUUUUGGAAUCUUUUGUUUAUGCCAUUGGUUAGGAGACGUUCUGCCAAUUACACUCAAGUGUUAGGCAGUUCCACAAUCUCGUAGCUUUUGGCGAGGAUAUAUUAUAUAAUUAAUAUAUUAUAUUAUCUAUUCACAUGA